UACGGAGGGGGCGAGCGUUGUUCGGAAUUAUUGGGCGUAAAGGGCGCGUAGGCGGCGGAAUAAGUCAGACGUGAAAUCCCUCGGCUUAACCGAGGAAUUGCGUCUGAAACUGCUCCGCUUGAGGCCGGGAGAGGAGAGUGGAAUUCCCAGUGUAGCGGUGAAAUGCGUAGAUAUUGGGAGGAACACCGGUGGCGAAGGCGGCUCUCUGGACCGGUUCUGACGCUGAGGCGCGAAAGCUAGGGGAGCAAACAGG
This 253-nucleotide ribosomal RNA is filed under the name uncultured bacterium. RNAcentral's name for it is "partial 16S ribosomal RNA". It matches the Rfam family "Bacterial small subunit ribosomal RNA", at positions 524 to 776 of the family's 1533-position model. The record is from RNAcentral.